GACGAACGCUGGCGGCGUGCUUAACACAUGCAAGUCGAACGGUGAAGCGCUUGCCUUUUUGGUGGGUGUGGAUGAGUGGCGAACGGGUGAGUAACACGUGAGUAACCUGCCCUCUUCUUCUGGAUAACCUCAUGAAAGUGGGGCUAAUACGGGGUAUUCCGGGUCUGUCGCAUGGCGGGUUUGGGAAAGAUUGCGCCUUUGGGUGUUUUCGGUGGGGGAUGGGCUCGCGGCCUAUCAGCUUGUUGGUGGGGUGAUGGCCUACCAAGGCGGUGACGGGUAGCCGGCCUGAGAGGGUGGACGCACACACUGGGACUGAGGCACGGCCCAGACUCGUGCGGGAGGCAGCAGUGGGGAAUAUUGCACAAUGGGCGCAAGCCUGAUGCAGCGACGCCGCGUGAGGGAUGGAGGCCUUCGGGUUGUGAACCUCUUUCGGCAGUGAAGCAGGCCUGCUCCUGUGUGGGUGGGUUGACGGUAGCUGGAUAAGAAGCGCCGGCUAACUACGUG
Molecule: ribosomal RNA, 504 nt
Filed under: uncultured bacterium
Lineage: Bacteria
Description: partial 16S ribosomal RNA
Rfam family: Bacterial small subunit ribosomal RNA
Source: RNAcentral